RNAcentral lists this ribosomal RNA (497 nucleotides) under uncultured bacterium. Its description in RNAcentral is "partial 16S ribosomal RNA". It matches the Rfam family "Bacterial small subunit ribosomal RNA", at positions 28 to 507 of the family's 1533-position model. The record is from RNAcentral.
GAUGAACGCUGGCGGCGUGCCUAAUACAUGCAAGUCGAGCGAACAGACGAGGAGCUUGCUCCUCUGACGUUAGCGGCGGACGGGUGAGUAACACGUGGAUAACCUACCUAUAAGACUGGGAUAACUUCGGGAAACCGGAGCUAAUACCGGAUAAUAUAUUGAACCGCAUGGUUCAAUAGUGAAAGACGGUUUUGCUGUCACUUAUAGAUGGAUCCGCGCCGCAUUAGCUAGUUGGUAAGGUAACGGCUUACCAAGGCAACGAUGCGUAGCCGACCUGAGAGGGUGAUCGGCCACACUGGAACUGAGACACGGUCCAGACUCCUACGGGAGGCAGCAGUAGGGAAUCAUCCGCAAUGGGCGGAAGCCUGACGGAGCAACGCCGCGUGAGUGGUGAAGGUCUUCGGAUCGUAAAACUCUGUUAUUAGGGAAGAACAAAUGUGUAAGUAACUAUGCACGUCUUGACGGUACCUAAUCAGAAAGCCACGGCUAACUACGUG